RNAcentral lists this ribosomal RNA (253 nucleotides) under uncultured bacterium. RNAcentral describes it as "partial 16S ribosomal RNA". It matches the Rfam family "Bacterial small subunit ribosomal RNA", at positions 524 to 776 of the family's 1533-position model. The record is from RNAcentral.
UACGAACCGUCCAAACGUUAUUCGGAAUUACUGGGCUUAAAGGGUUCGUAGGCGGCCUUGUAAGUGGGGUGUGAAAUCCCUCGGCUCAACCGAGGAAUAGCGCUCCAAACUGCAAGGCUUGAGGGAGACAGGGGUAAGCGGAACUGAUGGUGGAGCGGUGAAAUGCGUUGAUAUCAUCAGGAACACCGGUGGCGAAAGCGGCUUACUGGGUCUCUUCUGACGCUGAGGAACGAAAGCUAGGGUAGCGAACGGG